RNAcentral lists this ribosomal RNA (492 nucleotides) under uncultured bacterium. RNAcentral's name for it is "partial 16S ribosomal RNA". It matches the Rfam family "Bacterial small subunit ribosomal RNA", at positions 29 to 507 of the family's 1533-position model. The record is from RNAcentral.
AGUGAACGCUGGCGGUAGGCCUAACACAUGCAAGUCGAACGGCAGCACAGUAAGAGCUUGCUCUUACGGGUGGCGAGUGGCGGACGGGUGAGGAAUACAUCGGAAUCUACUUUUUCGUGGGGGAUAACGUAGGGAAACUUACGCUAAUACCGCAUACGACCUACGGGUGAAAGUAGGGGAUCUUCGGACCUUGCGCGAUUGAAUGAGCCGAUGUCGGAUUAGCUAGUUGGCGGGGUAAAGGCCCACCAAGUCGACGAUCCGUAGCUGGUCUGAGAGGAUGAUCAGCCACACUGGAACUGAGACACGGUCCAGACUCCUACGGGAGGCAGCAGUGGGGAAUAUUGGACAAUGGGCGCAAGCCUGAUCCAGCCAUACCGCGUGGGUGAAGAAGGCCUUCGGGUUGUAAAGCCCUUUUGUUGGGAAAGAAAAGCAGCAGGUUAAUACCCCGCUGUUCUGACGGUACCCAAAGAAUAAGCACCGGCUAACUUCGUG